Hibiscus syriacus is the source of this 637-nucleotide RNA transcript. RefSeq lists it as uncharacterized. The transcript is spliced from 3 exons. The record is from RefSeq and is a predicted model, not a curated record. NCBI's taxonomy places the organism in Eukaryota, Viridiplantae, Streptophyta, Magnoliopsida, Malvales, Malvaceae.
CAGCCGCAAUGCUCUCUUCUCUCCCUCACUCUCCUUUUCCCGUCUCCCUCUCGGCCGAAAGCCUUAAGGGCUCCAACUCCGGUGACCAACGACGAACAGCUCUCCGAGAGAUACCCAACGCCGACGGGAACCAAACCCUCGCUUCGCAACCCAGUCGACUAAGGUAACCAAGGGUGCCAGAGUAUGGGCACGGUGAUGGGGAAUUGAACCGUGGAAUGCUCGUGGGUAGCAGAAGCUGCUCGGUUGUAGAGCCUGCUGAGCGCUGCUUCAUGUGGAUUCCCGGUUGUAGUUCACGUGGGGAACAUGGCUGCUGUAACCGAGAGGCAUGGGUGAUUGGAAGUUGUAGGGCGCAUGGCUUCAUCAGCAUGGGCACGGGCGUGGCGCUUGGCUCGUGGAGCAGGGCACGCGGGAUGCUGUCGGUUUGUCUGGCGUGCACGAGCUUCACAUGGGAGUUGGAAAUGGAGCUUCACAUGAGGCGCAUGGUCAGCGUUUAGUGGAGCAACAGCCCCUAGGGGCUUCACGUGAGCAACAGCUAAAUCGGGUCUCUGCUUUGUGGGCUCGAGUCUUGUAAUUGUUGUUGUGAUUAUUUUUACUCUAGUUGGGCUUGUAAGAUAUAAACGGACUUUAAACACUUUAA